This 1892-nucleotide small RNA is filed under the name Pongo abelii (Sumatran orangutan). RNAcentral describes it as "retained intron". The record is from RNAcentral. Lineage: Eukaryota; Metazoa; Chordata; Mammalia; Primates; Hominidae.
GCAUAGCGCUCGAAGCGCUCCUGCGGCCACAGGCGCGGCGUCCUCGGCGGCGAGCGGCAGCGAGUGGGAGCCAGGACGCCGGUGCAGUCGCAGCGCGCGGAGGAACCCGGGCUGUGCCGGGAGCUGGGCGGCCACGUCCGGACGGGACCGAGACUCCUUGUAGCGCAUUGCGGCGACCUCGCCUUCCCCGGUCGCGAGCGCGCAGCUGCUUGAAAAGCCGCGGAACCCGAGGACUUUUCUCCGGUCCGAGCUCGGGGCGCCCCGCAGGGCGCACGGUACCCGUGCUGCAGUCGGGCACGCCGCGGCGCCGGGGCCUCCGCAGGGCGAUGGAGCCCGGUCUGCAAGGAAAGUGAGGCGCCGCCGCUGCGUUCUGGAGAAGGGGGGCACAAGGUCUGGAGACCCCGGGCGGCGGACGGGAGCCCUCCCCCCGCCCCGCCUCCGGGGCACCAGCUCCGGCUCCAUUGUUCCCGCCCGGGCUGGAGGCGCCGAUCACCGAGCGCCGCCGGGAGUCGAGCGCCGGCCGCGGAGCUCCUGCGACCCCGCCAGGACCCGAACAGAGCCCGGGGGCGGCGGGCCGGAGCCGGGGACACGGGCACACGCCCGCUCGCACAAGCCACAGCGGACUCUCCCGAGGCGGAACCUCCACGCCGAGCGAGGGUCAGUUUGAAAAGGAGGAUUGAGCUCACUGUGGAGUAUCCAUGGAGAUGUGGAGCCUUGUCACCAAACUCUAACUGCAGAACUGGGAUGUGGAGCUGGAAGUGCCUCCUCUUCUGGGCUGUGCUGGUCACAGCCACACUCUGCACCGCUAGGCCAUCCCCAACCUUGCCUGAACAAGAUGCUCUCCCCUCCUCGGAGGAUGAUGAUGAUGAUGAUGACUCCUCUUCAGAGGAGAAAGAAACAGAUAACACCAAACCAAACCCCGUAGCUCCAUAUUGGACAUCCCCAGAAAAAAUGGAAAAGAAAUUGCAUGCAGUGCCGGCUGCCAAGACAGUGAAGUUCAAAUGCCCUUCCAGUGGGACCCCAAACCCCACACUGCGCUGGUUGAAAAAUGGCAAAGAAUUCAAACCUGACCACAGAAUUGGAGGCUACAAGGUCCGUUAUGCUACCUGGAGCAUCAUAAUGGACUCCGUGGUGCCCUCUGACAAGGGCAACUACACCUGCAUUGUGGAGAAUGAGUACGGCAGCAUCAACCACACGUACCAGCUGGAUGUCGUGGAGCGGUCCCCUCACCGGCCCAUCCUGCAAGCAGGGUUGCCCGCCAACAAGACAGUGGCCCUGGGUAGCAACGUGGAGUUCAUGUGUAAGGUGUACAGUGAUCCGCAGCCGCACAUCCAGUGGCUAAAGCACAUCGAGGUGAACGGGAGCAAGAUUGGUCCAGACAACCUGCCUUAUGUCCAGAUCUUGAAGGUAAUCAUGGCACCAGUCUUUGUGGGCCAGUCUACUGGGAAGAAGACCACUGUCUCGGGGGCUCAAGUUCCUGUGGGCAGGCUCAGUGCCCCCGAAUGGGAUCAUUCCUCGCACUUCAGGCACACACACUCCAUCUUGGUAGGGAUCUAGCCACAUCCCCCAGGACUAGUGACAGAGGUCACAAAGUGGAGGUGAGCUGGGAACAGAGGGCUGCAGGGGUGGGUGGUGCUGGUCUGUAAUAAGCUUUGAGAGCAAUGUCACUGGGGCUUUAGGGUCAGCUACACAAGGAAGGCAUUUGGACCCCUGCCUUUUCAUUGCCCGAAACCAGAGCCUUUCCACCAAGCGUUUCCCAGUCUUAGCCCUGUGUCCCGAGUUACGUACGAUCUUUCUGGCAAAUGGGGUGCAUGAUAAGAGCAUCUGUUAGGAAGAGUUGGAAAAACAAAUGCCACGUAUAAAUUCUAAGCCAUAUGAGGAGUAAUGGCAUU